This 799-nucleotide long non-coding RNA is filed under the name Mytilus galloprovincialis (Mediterranean mussel). The record is from RNAcentral. Lineage: Eukaryota; Metazoa; Mollusca; Bivalvia; Mytilida; Mytilidae.
AUCAUAAAUACAAGCACCACUUAUAUUGCUACUUUAAUUUCAUACAAUACUGAUAAGAAUACACCCUUUAAGUUAAUAAAUCUGAUAAUGACAUUUAAUAAUUUCACACUGGUAAUUAUGACACCCUCACUACACACACCACUCAUGACUAAAAUAUUUUUAAGCACACACUUUGAAAGCCAAGCAUUGCACACAACACUAAUUUUAACUUAAAGACUUUUCACAACAACUUAUGAUGACAGAUUCAAUCGGUCCACUAAAAAUGGUGAUACGCCUUAUUGACACCCUACUGAAAAUAACACCUUCAAUUUAUUAGCCAAAUAUGGUAAUACACGUGUUUCACACACCACUUAUUAUGACAACCUUAAUUCAACCACAACUCAUAUUGACUCCUUCAAUUCAUUUACCAGUAAUGUUUAAAAACUAGUUCACAAAACACUGAUGGUGACACCCUUAAUUUAAACACCACUGAUAAUGACGUCUUCAAUUCAUCAUCCAUAGUAGUGUUAUUUAUAAUGAGUGUCUAACUUAAACAUGUUAAACUAUACUUAAUUGUGUAUCACAUAUACAUUUCGACACAAAAAAAGAUCAGAAGAUAAAUUAAUAAAGUUUGAAUACUCACCAAAUAUAAUUACAUAAGUUAAAUCCUGUGGAUAACAUCAUUAUAUUUAGACGACACACAUCUCAGCUAUAUCCGAGAACGCACAUGUUUUGAGACACAAUACUAUGCCCAUUAUUAAUGGCAACACAGAUUAUACCGAUAACGGAGUAAAUUCUGAAAAACUUAACUAUAAAAAAA